UUGAAGGAUUUGUAAAAAAUGUUUGAAGGAAUUGACUUAACGUUAAACACUAAGUCAAUUUCCUCAAACAUUUCUUACAAAUCCUUCAA
Molecule: microRNA precursor, 89 nt
Filed under: Paramuricea clavata
Lineage: Eukaryota; Metazoa; Cnidaria; Anthozoa; Malacalcyonacea; Plexauridae
Source: RNAcentral